Molecule: ribosomal RNA, 465 nt
Filed under: Vreelandella stevensii
Lineage: Bacteria; Pseudomonadati; Pseudomonadota; Gammaproteobacteria; Oceanospirillales; Halomonadaceae
Description: partial 16S ribosomal RNA
Rfam family: Bacterial small subunit ribosomal RNA
Source: RNAcentral
CCUACGGGAGGCAGCAGUGGGGAAUAUUGGACAAUGGGGGCAACCCUGAUCCAGCCAUGCCGCGUGUGUGAAGAAGGCCCUCGGGUUGUAAAGCACUUUCAGUGAGGAAGAACGCCUGGUGGUUAAUACCCAUCAGGAAAGACAUCACUCACAGAAGAAGCACCGGCUAACUCCGUGCCAGCAGCCGCGGUAAUACGGAGGGUGCGAGCGUUAAUCGGAAUUACUGGGCGUAAAGCGCGCGUAGGUGGCUUGAUAAGCCGGUUGUGAAAGCCCCGGGCUCAACCUGGGAACGGCAUCCGGAACUGUCAAGCUAGAGUGCAGGAGAGGAAGGUAGAAUUCCCGGUGUAGUGGUGAAAUGCGGAGAGAUCGGGAGGAAUAACAGUGGCGAAGGCGGCCUUCUGGACUGACACUGACACUGAGGUGCGAAAGCGUGGGUAGCAAACAGGAUUAGAUACCCUGGUAGUC